This 359-nucleotide ribosomal RNA is filed under the name Alternaria sp. Its description in RNAcentral is "partial 28S ribosomal RNA". It matches the Rfam family "Eukaryotic large subunit ribosomal RNA", at positions 1 to 353 of the family's 3401-position model. The record is from RNAcentral. Lineage: Eukaryota; Fungi; Ascomycota; Dothideomycetes; Pleosporales; Pleosporaceae.
UUUUGACCUCGGAUCAGGUAGGGAUACCCGCUGAACUUAAGCAUAUCAAUAAGCGGAGGAAAAGAAACCAACAGGGAUUGCCCUAGUAACGGCGAGUGAAGCGGCAACAGCUCAAAUUUGAAAUCUGGCUCUUUUAGAGUCCGAGUUGUAAUUUGCAGAGGGCGCUUUGGCUUUGGCAGCGGUCCAAGUUCCUUGGAACAGGACGUCACAGAGGGUGGAGAAUCCCGUACGUGGUCGCUGKCUAUUGCCGUGUAAAGCCCCUUCGACGAGUCGAGUUGUUUGGGAAUGCAGCUCUAAAUGGGAGGUACAUUUCUUCUAAAGCUAAAUAUUGGCCAGAGACCGAUAGCGCACAAGUAGAG